ACCUACUUGUCUCAGCCGCGGUAAUUCCAGCUCCAAUAGCGUAUAUUAAAGUUGUUGCAGUUAAAAAGCUCGUAGUUGAAUUUCGGGGUUCUACCGUUGGUCGGGCUUUGUCUGUACUGGCGUGUAGAAUUUCUACCUUCUGGGGAACCAUCAUGUUAUUAAUUUAACGUGGUGGGAACCAGGACCUUUACCUUGAAAAAAUUAGAGUGUUCAAAGCAGGCUUGUGUCUGAAUACAUUAGCAUGGAAUAAUAAAAUAGGACGGUGGUCCUGUUUUGUUGGUUUCUGAAUCACCGUAAUGAUUAAUAGGGAUAGUUGGGGGCAUUAGUAUUCAAUUGUCAGAGGUGAAAUUCUUGGAUUUAUUGAAGACUAACUUCUGCGAAAGCAUUUGCCAAGGAUGUUUUCAUUAAUCAAGAACGAAAGUUAGGGGAUCGAAGACGAUCAGAUACCGUCGUAGUCUUAACCAUAAACUAUGCCGACUAGGGAUCGGACGAUGUUAAUUUUUCUUGACUCGUUCGGCGCCUUACG
RNAcentral lists this ribosomal RNA (526 nucleotides) under uncultured Glomeromycotina. Its description in RNAcentral is "partial small subunit ribosomal RNA". It matches the Rfam family "Eukaryotic small subunit ribosomal RNA", at positions 558 to 1092 of the family's 1831-position model. Lineage: Eukaryota; Fungi; Glomeromycota. The record is from RNAcentral.